GAUGAACGCUGGCGGCGUGCUUAACACAUGCAAGUCGAACGAAGCACUUUUAUUUGAUUUCUUCGGAAUGAAGAUUUUAGUGACUGAGUGGCGGACGGGUGAGUAACGCGUGGGUAACCUGCCUCAUACAGGGGGAUAACAGUUGGAAAUGACUGCUAAUACCGCAUAAGACCACAGUACCGCAUGGUGCAGGGGUAAAAACUCCGGUGGUAUGAGAUGGACCCGCGUCUGAUUAGGUAGUUGGUGGGGUAACGGCCUACCAAGCCGACGAUCAGUAGCCGACCUGAGAGGGUGACCGGCCACAUUGGGACUGAGACACGGCCCAA
This 326-nucleotide ribosomal RNA is filed under the name uncultured bacterium. Its description in RNAcentral is "bacterial SSU rRNA". It matches the Rfam family "Bacterial small subunit ribosomal RNA", at positions 28 to 334 of the family's 1533-position model. The record is from RNAcentral.